Mya arenaria is the source of this 1735-nucleotide long non-coding RNA. RefSeq lists it as uncharacterized. The record is from RefSeq and is a predicted model, not a curated record. Lineage: Eukaryota; Metazoa; Mollusca; Bivalvia; Myida; Myidae. The transcript has 3 exons.
GCAACCUAUGCCAAACACAACAAAAACAGACGAACAACAACAAAAAAACAGCGAAAGACGAAGAACAAUUGUUGUCGUGUGCAGCACUUACUAGUAUAUUGCAUCGGUGGAUGAACGUAAUUUAAAAGUCUUUCCUGCGUACUGAAAACUAACCAUGGAUACUGGAGGCGGAUAGAACUAAGCAUGGACACUCGUAAAACCAACCCUGGAUGUUGAUAGAAACAACCAUGGAUGCUGAUAGAACCUACUGUAGAAGCCGAUAUAACCAACAAUUGACAAUAUCAUAACUUACCAUGGGCAGUGAAAGAAUUGAAGAAUUGACCAAAAGCAGUAAGGAAUGCAGGAACUGGUUCAAGCAUUUUCCUCAGGAUCUCCUACAUCUCUCAUAGAGGGACACGCAAAAAGCCAGAUCAUAUUCCUGAGGACCUUUACAUCUCUACAAGGAGGGACACACAAACAGACACAUCAUAUUCCUGGGGACCUUUACAUAUCUACAAGGAGGGACACACAAACAGACACAUCAUAUUCCUGAGGACCUUUACAUCUCAACACAAAGGGUCACACAAACAGCCACAUCAUAUUCCUGAGGACCUUUACAUCUUAACAUAAAGGGUCACACAAACAGCCACAUCAUGUUCCUGAGGACCUUUACAUCUCUACAAGGAGGGACACACAAACAGACACAUCAUAUUCCUGAGGACCUUAACAUUUCAACAUAGAGGGACACACAAACAGCCACAUCAUGUUCCUGAGGACCUUUACAUCUCUACAAGGAGGGACACACAAACAGACACAUCAUAUUCCUGAGGACCUUUACAUCUCUACAAGGAGGGACACACAAACAGACACAUCAUAUUCCUGAGGACCUUUACUUCUAAACCUAAAGGGUCACACCAACAGCCACAUCAUACUCCUGAGAACCUUUAAAACUCAAAAUAGAGGGACACACAAACAGCCACAUCAUAUUCCUGAGGAUCUUAACAUAUCUACAUAGAAGGUCCCACAAACAGCCACAUCAUAUUCCUGGGGAUCUUUACAUCUCUACAAGGAGGGACACACAAACAGCCAUAUCAUAUUCCUGAGGAUAUUUACAUCUCAACAUAGAGGGACACACAAACAGCCACAUCAAAUUCCUGAGGACCUUUACAUCUCAACGUAGAGGGACACACAAACAGCCACAUCAUAUUCCUGAGGACCUUUACAACUCAAAAUAGAGGGACACACAAACAGCCACAUCAUAUUCCCGAGGACCUUUACAUCUCAACAUAGAGGGACACACAAACAGCCACAUCAUAUUCCUGAAGACCUUUACACUUCAACAUAGAGGGACACACAAACAACCACAUCAUAUUCCUGAGGACCUUUACAUCUCAACAUAGAGGGACACACAAACAGCCACAUCAUAUUCCUUAGGACCUUUACAACUCAAAAUAGAGGGACACACAAACAGCUACAUCAUAUUCCUGAGGACCUUCCAGCAAAUUGAGUUAUUGUCCUGUGUUACGUUUCUUGUUCAGAUCCAUUUUUGAAAACUACAGGAUGUAAUUCAACUCCACACGAUAAUUAAGCACAAUGAGAAUAAGAAGAGUGUACAAGAUACUGUUGAAGCUAAUAACAGAUCGUUUUCCCUUUGUAACUUUUUCAUAACCAGCUGGCUCCGAUUUCUCGAAACUACUUUAGCUUUACAGGCUUAAGUAGCUUAUUUCAAAAUGCCAAAAUAUAUACUUAACUAGAU